Long non-coding RNA from Notothenia coriiceps (black rockcod), 1292 nucleotides. RefSeq lists it as uncharacterized. NCBI's taxonomy places the organism in Eukaryota, Metazoa, Chordata, Actinopteri, Perciformes, Nototheniidae. The transcript has 4 exons. The record is from RefSeq and is a predicted model, not a curated record.
AUUCCUGAACAGACAUGUGGUUACUAUAUGGUUAUACCUUUUUCACACAAAAAUGCAAAGCAACAGCAGGCUUAUUUUACAUUUGAUAAAUCACAAAAUAAAACUCCUAUGUGAUUUGGUUUACACACAGAAAGGGUCUUACAUUGUAGCGUUGGGCAGUAGGUUGAUUACAUCAAAAUGAUUUGGCUCAUGUCCAUAUAUUGUACGAGAGGUUGAUAUCAUUAAUAUUGUGGUCUACCUAAAGCAAUCCCUGACCAUAGGGGUAAACUUUGAAGCAACUCAUGCAACAACGUCAUGCAGCAUAUUUAAACUUUAUACUCAAGAACUGCAUUUAGAUACGACACUGUCCCAUAAUGAACAUACGGGGAAUAAACUUAGGUUUUUUAAUCAAAGUUAAAUUCAUUUAACGUUACAGCACAACAUGUUAAUAUUUAUCAAACUAUUCCUUACACAUAAAGUAUGGAGUCAAUUAUAUAGGCAAGACAACAAAACACCUAGACUUCAUAGAUCAACCUCAAUUAAAUCCCAAUAACAAAAAAAUAUCUGUACCUAACACCUAUUGCAUCAUGUGAUGCUGCAUUUGUGGGAUGUAUUUUGAAACUUGAGUUUAAGCUUAACUUGGUGUACUGUAUGUAUAUAGUAAUAUUUCUUCUUCAACCCACAGCUGUCAGGACAGGGUCCGUGAGGGACACAGUACUUGGUCCUAGACGCAAAAAGAAAAAGUCAGAUUGCUCCUACCACACUCGCCUAGAAACUUUCCCCAUCAGGAGUGUAAUAAAAGAAAGAAUGAGAAAGGGAAAAGCAGAAAUGUUGGUGGAGUGGGAGCCCUGUCCUGUAUGUGGCAAGGAGUGGGCUCAUUCCUGGCAGUUGAAGAAUUCUCUGGAAUAAUGCAAACAAAUUAAAUCUAUUAUUUGAACUCCACUUUUGUUUUUGUACGUUUAUUCUCUUGUUUAUAUGCUCCAUUUGAGUCAUAUUUAAUAUUUUUCUAUUAGAAAUAAGAUGAAAACCACCAACAAAAUGCAUUUGACUUUUCAGGAAAAUACAGUUGAAAUAUUACAUGAUUUCAGUGAUAGGAACACCAUAAAGCAUUACAUUAAGCAUAUUCAUGUGUGAAAUCUGUUACUUUGCCAUCCACUGCCUUAUCUAAUUUGUAUAACUUUCGAAGUAUAACGCUUUGGAGGUAGGCUUGCAUAUAAUUCAAUUACAGGCCUUUAAGAUGAUCCUGAUGUGGAUCACUGUGGGUUUGCUACUACAUUUGAAGGCUUUUGGGGACAUAUUAAAAUGCUUGAGAA